AGUGAACGCUGGCGGCGUGCCUAACACAUGCAAGUCGAACGGACGAAGAGAGCUUGCUCUCCUAGUUAGUGGCGCACGGGUGAGUAACACGUAGCUAACCUGCACCAUAGUAAGGGACAACAGUUGGAAACGACUGCUAAUACCUUAUACUCCUUCUCUACCUAAGUAGAGUCGGGAAAGUUUUUUCGCUAUGGGAUGGGGCUGCGGACUAUCAGCUUGUUGGGGAGGUAAUGGCUCACCAAGGCUAUGACGGGUAGCUGGUCUGAGAGGAGGAUCAGCCACAUUCGCACUGAGACCCGGUCCAAACGCCUACGUGAGGCAGCAGUGGGGAAUUUUACACAAUGGGCGAAAGCCUGAUGUAGCAACGCCGCGUGGAGGAUGAAGGAUUUAGGUUCGUAAACUCCUUUUAUAAGGGAAGAAAUUUGACGGUACCUUAUGAAUAAGCACCGGCUAACUCCGUGCCAGCCGCCGCGGUAA
This 477-nucleotide ribosomal RNA is filed under the name uncultured bacterium. Its description in RNAcentral is "partial 16S ribosomal RNA". It matches the Rfam family "Bacterial small subunit ribosomal RNA", at positions 29 to 523 of the family's 1533-position model. The record is from RNAcentral.